UUGGGGGGUUUUUAUGAGAAAUUGGUGGAGUGAUUCAAAGAGGGAUAAGGGGAGAGAUUUUAAGAGAAAAUAAAGGGAAGUGAGGGGAGAGGGGAGGUGUGCCGAAAAUGGACUUGUUACUCAGGAAAAUUCGGCUAGAGGGCAGACUGCUCAUAUUUGUUUUACUCUUCAUGUCGGGUUUGGGUGGUUUUCCCUCUCUCUGCUUGUAGGCGCCGAAUUUUUACUAAUUUUUGGAGGUACCUCUCGAGUUUGUUUUCUUUUAGCUGCUAUUCCAUUUUUACUUAUUUUUUUCUUUUUGGCCGAAUAUAGUUUCUCUCCUCCCUCACUUUUUCUUUUUUGUUAUUCUUUUUUUUCGGUUUUCUCUCCUCUUUGAUUGCUGAAUACACCUUUCUCCCCCUUUUGUCCCUUUGAAUCUAUCUACUUUACCGUUCCUUAUCCUGCUACACUGUUGCCGAUUUACUCUUGUUGUUUUCCCCUUCUUCCAUCUUUUCUUUUCUUUUUCUAAUUCCUGAA
RNAcentral lists this long non-coding RNA (513 nucleotides) under Gossypium raimondii (Peruvian cotton). RNAcentral describes it as "long non-coding RNA (GRAI_LNC007778)". Lineage: Eukaryota; Viridiplantae; Streptophyta; Magnoliopsida; Malvales; Malvaceae. The record is from RNAcentral.